RNAcentral lists this ribosomal RNA (919 nucleotides) under uncultured Actinomycetes bacterium. RNAcentral describes it as "bacterial SSU rRNA". It matches the Rfam family "Bacterial small subunit ribosomal RNA", at positions 8 to 936 of the family's 1533-position model. Lineage: Bacteria; Bacillati; Actinomycetota; Actinomycetes. The record is from RNAcentral.
AGAGUUUGAUCCUGGCUCAGGACGAACGCUGGCGGCGUGCUUAACACAUGCAAGUCGAACGAUGAUGCUGGAGCUUGCUCCAGUUGAUUAGUGGCGAACGGGUGAGUAACACGUGAGCAAUCUGCCCUUGACUCUGGGAUAACUGCGGGAAACUGUAGCUAAUACCGGAUACUUUCACCGGAAGGCAUCUUCUGGUGAUGAAAGAAUUUCGGUCAGGGAUGAGCUCGCGGCCUAUCAGCUUGUUGGUGAGGUAACGGCUCACCAAGGCGACGACGGGUAGCCGGCCUGAGAGGGUGACCGGCCACACUGGGACUGAGACACGGCCCAGACUCCUACGGGAGGCAGCAGUGGGGAAUAUUGCACAAUGGGCGCAAGCCUGAUGCAGCAACGCCGCGUGAGGGAUGAAGGCCUUCGGGUUGUAAACCUCUUUUAGCAGGGAAGAAGCGAAAGUGACGGUACCUGCAGAAAAAGCACCGGCUAACUACGUGCCAGCAGCCGCGGUAAUACGUAGGGUGCAAGCGUUGUCCGGAAUUAUUGGGCGUAAAGAGCUCGUAGGCGGUUUGUCACGUCUGCUGUGAAAAUCCAAGGCUCAACCUUGGACUUGCAGUGGGUACGGGCAGGCUAGAGUGCGGUAGGGGAGAUGGGAAUUCCUGGUGUAGCGGUGGAAUGCGCAGAUAUCAGGAGGAACACCAAUGGCGAAGGCACAUCUCUGGGCCGUAACUGACGCUGAGGAGCGAAAGCGUGGGGAGCAAACAGGAUUAGAUACCCUGAUAGUCCACGCCGUAAACGGUGGGUGCUAGCUGUGGGCCACAUUCCACGUGGUCCGUAACGAAGUUAACACAUUAAGCACCCCGCCUGGGGAGUACGGCCGCAAGGCUAAAACUCAAAGGAAUUGACGGGGGCCCGCACAAGCGGCGGA